RNAcentral lists this ribosomal RNA (400 nucleotides) under uncultured bacterium. RNAcentral describes it as "bacterial SSU rRNA". It matches the Rfam family "Bacterial small subunit ribosomal RNA", at positions 356 to 773 of the family's 1533-position model. The record is from RNAcentral.
GGGGAAUAUUGGACAAUGGGCGCAAGCCUGAUCCAGCCAUGCCGCGUGAGUGAUGAAGGCCUUAGGGUUGUAAAGCUCUUUCAGUGGGGAAGAUAAUGACGGUACCCACAGAAGAAGCCCCGGCUAACUUCGUGCCAGCAGCCGCGGUAAUACGAAGGGGGCUAGCGUUGUUCGGAUUUACUGGGCGUAAAGCGCACGUAGGCGGAUUGGUCAGUUAGGGGUGAAAUCCCAGAGCUCAACUCUGGAACUGCCUCUAAUACUGCCAGUCUAGAGUCCGGAAGAGGUAAGUGGAACUCCUAGUGUAGAGGUGGAAUUCGUAGAUAUUAGGAAGAACACCAGUGGCGAAGGCGGCUUACUGGUCCGGUACUGACGCUGAGGUGCGAAAGCGUGGGGAGCAAAC